CCCUAAUCCAAACAGAACUGGUGUCUUUAUAAGAAAAGGAAGAGAUACCCUAACUCUCUCCCCAUCUUGUGAGCACACAGCCAGAAGGUGGCCAUCUGCAAGACAGGAAGGGUGCUCUCACCAGAGCCUGACCAUGCUGGACCUUGACCUUGGGCCUUCAGCCUCCAGAACUGUCAUGCAGAAGGAUAUGUCCUGUGCAAGGCUGCCACCCAGUUGAGACUUCCCCCUGGACUUGGAGGGAAAAGGAUUGGGUGAAUUAUAAUGACUGCACCCUGUGGCAUGUGAGAUCUGAGUUCCCUGACCUGGGAUCAAACUUGUGGAGUUCCACUACAGUUCCCUAUAGUGGAAGUGUGGAGUCUCAACCACUGAAUCGCCAAGGUAAUCCUUUUUUUCUUCCAACUUGCUCACUUCUGUUUAGGCCAGAGGUUCUUGCCCUGGCUACAUCCAAUCACCCAAGGGACUUCAAAAAUUCUGAUGCUCAGGCCUAGCCACAUCCUCCUGCUUCGCCCCUCAACUCACGCCUUCUCUCCAGGAUUAUGACUUGCAAGGCUGGGGACACUGGGGAGAAGGAACUGGACUUCAUCGUGCUCCCCUCCCUCUCUGCUCCUCAGUCUCUGCCAGCCUGCGGAGAGCAGGUGUCCCAUCGGUCUCGCCCAUCUGGGGAGGCUGCCGCUUUCCGGCACAGCUGGGUGGGUGCACUUAAUUCUAGGGUGUAGAGGGAGGAUGUGCCCUUGGCUGGCUGACAGGGAGCCACCUCCUCCAAACAGGCCUGGCAGUAAGAAAGCUGCUGUUCUGACCUCCAUCUCUCUUACUCCAGCACCUACCUUUCAGCUGGCUCUGUAUACUUUCUCAGGAAGCUGCUGGAAGAUGUGGUCCACGAAGGGGAGGGAGGAACCUGAAUAGCCAAGAACGAGGAAGAGGAAGUCCCAGGAAGGCGGGCUUAGAGGAGCAAAGGGAAUUUCCAGGGUGGUGGUGAGGGGAAGUCCAAGGACAAAUUUAUGGCACCUGCCGGCAGAGGGGAACGAAGUUUAGCCACAAUCAGUGAGCCUGGGUUCCAGGAAGGAGCCUCUUGGAGACAAAAAUGGAACCAACUGAUUAUCAGCUGGGAAGAAGGAAAGUUAAGGGAUGAGGGGAAAAAGUACAGAUAUGAAUAAAACAAAGGAAAUCCAAAAUAUAAGGCAACUAUCUUUAAAAAGGGA
Molecule: long non-coding RNA, 1199 nt
Organism: Bos taurus (domestic cattle)
Lineage: Eukaryota; Metazoa; Chordata; Mammalia; Artiodactyla; Bovidae
Source: Ensembl